UACGUAGGGGGCGAGCGUUGUCCGGAUUUAUUGGGCGUAAAGAGCUCGUAGGCGGUUCGGUUAGUCGGAUGUGAAAUCUCCACGCUCAACGUGGAGGGGCCAUUCGAUACUGCCGUGACUCGAGUCCGGUAGGGGAGUGUGGAAUUCCCGGUGUAGCGGUGAAAUGCGCAGAGAUCGGGAGGAACACCCGUAGCGAAGGCGGCACUCUGGGCCGGUACUGACGCUGAGGUGCGAAAGCGUGGGGAGUAAACAGG
This 254-nucleotide ribosomal RNA is filed under the name uncultured bacterium. RNAcentral's name for it is "partial 16S ribosomal RNA". It matches the Rfam family "Bacterial small subunit ribosomal RNA", at positions 524 to 776 of the family's 1533-position model. The record is from RNAcentral.